RNAcentral lists this ribosomal RNA (635 nucleotides) under Mycobacterium sp. So3Pt_174. Its description in RNAcentral is "bacterial SSU rRNA". It matches the Rfam family "Bacterial small subunit ribosomal RNA", at positions 378 to 1022 of the family's 1533-position model. Lineage: Bacteria; Bacillati; Actinomycetota; Actinomycetes; Mycobacteriales; Mycobacteriaceae. The record is from RNAcentral.
GCAGCCUGAUGCAGCGACGCCGCGUGAGGGACGACGGCCUCCGGGUUGUAAACCUCUUUCAGCACAGACGAAGCGCAAGUGACGGUAUGUGCAGAAGAAGGACCGGCCAACUACGUGCCAGCAGCCGCGGUAAUACGUAGGGUCCGAGCGUUGUCCGGAAUUACUGGGCGUAAAGAGCUCGUAGGUGGUUUGUCGCGUUGUUCGUGAAAACUCACAGCUCAACUGUGGGCGUGCGGGCGAUACGGGCAGACUAGAGUACUGCAGGGGAGACUGGAAUUCCUGGUGUAGCGGUGGAAUGCGCAGAUAUCAGGAGGAACACCGGUGGCGAAGGCGGGUCUCUGGGCAGUAACUGACGCUGAGGAGCGAAAGCGUGGGGAGCGAACAGGAUUAGAUACCCUGGUAGUCCACGCCGUAAACGGUGGGUACUAGGUGUGGGUUUCCUUCCUUGGGAUCCGUGCCGUAGCUAACGCAUUAAGUACCCCGCCUGGGGAGUACGGCCGCAAGGCUAAAACUCAAAGAAAUUGACGGGGGCCCGCACAAGCGGCGGAGCAUGUGGAUUAAUUCGAUGCAACGCGAAGAACCUUACCUGGGUUUGACAUGCACAGGACGCUGGUAGAGAUAUCAGUUCCCUUGUG